RNAcentral lists this long non-coding RNA (512 nucleotides) under Hordeum vulgare. RNAcentral's name for it is "long non-coding RNA (HVUL_LNC018666)". The record is from RNAcentral. Lineage: Eukaryota; Viridiplantae; Streptophyta; Magnoliopsida; Poales; Poaceae.
GAUAAGUCAAUCCAUUUGGACUUUGAACUAUCUAGGUUAAAACAUUGAUUGGGUAGUGAGGGUCGGCUUAAAGAGAGCGAGGAUAAACCAGUGGAUAUCAUGCUAGUUUCAUUGAAGUAAGAUUCAAGUCUCAUAAACCAGCACUAUUCUAUCAUAUACAUGCAUCAUCUUGCAUUGCAUCAUGUAUCAUACAUACAUAUCAUGCCGGUUUUCAAACCGGGUCAAAGCAUAAAUUCUUGCAGGUGCAAAUAAAUCUUUGAGUAGCCAAUUUGGGUGGAUUUUCAUCAUGGUUUAUCAUAACCAGUGUUAAAUGAUUGGGAUUUUUAAGCCAGCUCGGAAAAAUUGACAAUAGUCAAAGAGCCGCCCUAUCACAUAUAUUGCCGGGUCAUUUAAUUGACCGGUCUUGGAUUUCUUAAACGUAUGGAUUUCUCAAGCAUAUAUAUGUCGGGUUACGUUGCAACCACGAUCAAGGAUUUCUUUCAUCACAAAGGCAUCAUCACAGUGGAUAUGAU